This 353-nucleotide long non-coding RNA is filed under the name Nicotiana tabacum (common tobacco). RNAcentral's name for it is "long non-coding RNA (NTAB_LNC007249)". The record is from RNAcentral. Lineage: Eukaryota; Viridiplantae; Streptophyta; Magnoliopsida; Solanales; Solanaceae.
GCACAAACGGCUGCGGUUGGGCUUGAGAAGACUGGGGAGGGUGAACCUGGGCAGGAUGCUGCUGAUACUGUGGCACCUGCACAUUGUGUUGUGAAUGAGGUUGCAUCGGAUAGGGCUGAGGAUAUGGCGGAGGCUGAGUAGGUGGCUGAGCAUGAGAAGCCGGAAAUAUUUGUGAUGGAAUUUGGGUAUGAGACUGCCCAGUAGGUGGAAGCUGCUGCUGUGGGUUGACUUGAACCUGGUUUUGAUGUUGCUGAGCCACAGCUUGAACCUGUGGUUGAGUUGGCCCUUUAGGUAGAGCUUGCAUUUGAGGUUGAAUUUGAGGUUGAGGUAGAGGAUUCAAUGGUUGCGGCUGG